GCUGACGCAGGUAUUCCUACUUAUAUGCUUCUCCAUUGCAUCUAAUAUUUGAAUGGCAUGCUCUAUGGUAAUAUAACAGUUUGACCAUUGUUCUGCAUUGAGAGGUCCUAUUUAAAUUUUCAGAUUACCAGUUCUAUCAAUUGGUUAUAUCAUCUAAGUAGCACGGGUACUGUACUUGAGAUACCAAUCUGAGACUAUAAUUCUUAUUUCUUUCCCAAUUAUAAAUGAAUGCAAAUUUAGUUGUUUUAAUUUGUUAAGACAUACAACACAUGCUAUAUGACUGGGUAAAAAUUUACUGGCAUGCCUUUUUCUUUUAGACAAAAACACAUACUAGAAUGUGCUUCUGGUAUGCUUUUUGGAGUGUGCAAAAUACAUUUCUUUAUGUCAUUGCCAGGGAUGAAUUUUGCAUUACUUGGAUGGUGUAGGAUUUAGGAUUUAUUGUCAAUUCUAAGGUAAUAUGAUUAGCAGUGGGCCCUAAACCCUCCAUCCUCCAGAUGGCACUAAACUAAGUGUGUGAUGCUCAAUCUAAGACAUGUCAAAUGCUCUUUGCUUAGGCAAAUUCUUCGAACUUUUUUCUGACUAGAUGCUAUAAUCUUCUGUUGUGAUGUUUUCAUUCUUUUUAAAUGUCUCGUUCUACUGACAGCAUAUCUUGGCUUAUGGAGAAUGGAUCACAAUAUGUUUCCACAUAUUAGAUGCUUUGCAUGAGUUGAAAACCAACAACCAGCUACUGAAAUUGUGUCCAUCUGAAUAAAUUUAUUUCAAGUUGCAGGCUGCACUUUCCUUUUGGUGGACAAAUUGGAGAUAUAAUCUUCAGAGAUGAAAAGUAGAUCAAGGCAUCAAGACCUUGAAGAAAGGAAAAAUAGGAAAAGAAAAAAAAGGGGGGGCGAAGGAGGCUCUGGAAGCAUACUUGGUGGCUCCGUUCAAGGAAACAAAACUGUGUCAUCCACACCAACUGCCCAAGGGCAUUCAGCUGUCUAGGUGGAUCAACGUGAGAGGGCUUAGGUUCUCUGCUAUCCUAUCCUAGGAUAUUAUAUGAUCCAAAUGAUGCUAUGAAAUUAAACUGUGUACAUGAUGUACUCUCGGUUCAAAUCUGUAUUCUCUGGACUGUUUCAACUUUCACGUCCAUGGAUUCAGUAAUAUGGCAUGAUUUGCUCUUGUACCGUACCCAAAACAAAUCCACUUUGUCAAUACCCUUUCAGAAGUUAUAGAUUUUCCUUUUCAUUGCCUAGGAUUGUUUUUUGUAACAAAUUAUCUGCUCUUGUAUACCCAUAUAAAAUGUACCAGUUCCAAGAAUACCCA
Molecule: long non-coding RNA, 1299 nt
Organism: Panicum virgatum (switchgrass)
Lineage: Eukaryota; Viridiplantae; Streptophyta; Magnoliopsida; Poales; Poaceae
Exons: 2
Source: RefSeq, a predicted model, not a curated record